AUGAACGCUGGCGGCGUGCCUAAUACCUGCCAGUCGAGCGAACAGACGAGGAGCUUGCUCCUUUGACGUUAGCGGCGGACGGGUGAGUAACACGUGGAUAACCUACCUAUAAGACUGGGAUAACUUCGGGAAACCGGAGCUAAUACCGGAUAACAUGUUGAACCGCAUGGUUCAACAGUGAAAGACGGUCUUGCUGUCACUUAUAGAUGGAUCCGCGCCGCAUUAGCUAGUUGGUAAGGUAACGGCUUACCAAGGCAACGAUGCGUAGCCGACCUGAGAGGUUGAUCGGCCACACUAGAACUGAGACACGGUCCAGACUCCUACGGGAGGCAGCAGUAGGGAAUCUUCCGCAAUGGGCGAAAGCCUGACGGAGCAACGCCGCGUGAGUGAAGAAGGUCUUCGGAUCGUAAAACUCUGUUAUUAGGGAAGAACAAAUGUGUAAGUAACUAUGCACGUCUUGACGGUACCUAAUCAGAAAGCCACGGCUAACUACGUG
RNAcentral lists this ribosomal RNA (496 nucleotides) under uncultured bacterium. Its description in RNAcentral is "partial 16S ribosomal RNA". It matches the Rfam family "Bacterial small subunit ribosomal RNA", at positions 29 to 507 of the family's 1533-position model. The record is from RNAcentral.